This 250-nucleotide ribosomal RNA is filed under the name uncultured bacterium. RNAcentral's name for it is "partial 16S ribosomal RNA". It matches the Rfam family "Bacterial small subunit ribosomal RNA", at positions 524 to 773 of the family's 1533-position model. The record is from RNAcentral.
UACGGAGGGUGCAAGCGUUAAUCGGAAUUACUGGGCGUAAAGGGUGCGUAGGUGGUUGAUUAAGUUAGCUGUGAAAUCCCCGGGCUUAACCUGGGAAGGUCAGCUAAGACUGGUUAACUUGAGUCUAGGAGAGGGUAGUGGAAUUUCCGGUGUAGCGGUGAAAUGCGUAGAGAUCGGAAGGAACACCAGUGGCGAAGGCGGCUACCUGGCCUAAGACUGACACUGAGGCACGAAAGCGUGGGGAGCAAAC